AACGAACGCUGGCGGCAUGCCUAACACAUGCAAGUCGAACGAGACCUUCGGGUCUAGUGGCGCACGGGUGCGUAACGCGUGGGAACCUGCCCUUAGGUUCGGAAUAACUCCCCGAAAGGGGUGCUAAUACCGGAUACUGUCUUCGGACCAAAGAUUUAUCGCCUUUGGAUGGGCCCGCGUUGGAUUAGCUAGUUGGUAGGGUAAAAGCCUACCAAGGCGACGAUCCAUAGCUGGUCUGAGAGGAUGAUCAGCCACACUGGGACUGAGACACGGCCCAGACUCCUACGGGAGGCAGCAGUGGGGAAUAUUGGACAAUGGGCGAAAGCCUGAUCCAGCAAUGCCGCGUGAGUGAUGAAGGCCUUAGGGUUGUAAAGCUCUUUUACCCGGGAUGAUAAUGACAGUACCGGGAGAAUAAGCUCCGGCUAACUCCGUG
RNAcentral lists this ribosomal RNA (433 nucleotides) under uncultured bacterium. Its description in RNAcentral is "partial 16S ribosomal RNA". It matches the Rfam family "Bacterial small subunit ribosomal RNA", at positions 29 to 507 of the family's 1533-position model. The record is from RNAcentral.